RNAcentral lists this small RNA (156 nucleotides) under [Eubacterium] yurii subsp. margaretiae ATCC 43715. It matches the Rfam family "Bacterial large subunit ribosomal RNA", at positions 13 to 167 of the family's 2925-position model. The record is from RNAcentral. Lineage: Bacteria; Bacillati; Bacillota; Clostridia; Peptostreptococcales; Filifactoraceae.
AAGAGCAUAAGGUGAAUGCCUUGGUGAUUAGAGCCGAAGAAGGACGUGGCAAGCUGCGAAAAGCUAUGAUAAGGAGCAAACAUCCGUAAUAGUCAUAGAUCUCCGAAUGAGGAAACUCACUUAAUAGAGAUAUUAAGUAUCCAUUGCUAAAUACAU